CAGCGCCACGAGUGGCAAUCAUGUUUACUUGGCCUAAAGCGUCCGUAGCCUGUUGGAUAAAUCUUUUGUGAAAUUGUUGAGCUCAACUCAACAACGUGCAGAAGACACUAUUCUACUAGGGACCGGGAGGGGUUAGAGGUAUUCUUUGGGGAGCGGUAAAAUGCUAUAAUCCUUAGAAGACCACCUGUGGCGAAGGCGUCUAACCAGAACGGAUCCGACGGUGAGGGACGAAAGCUAGGGGAGCGAACCGGAUUAGAUACCCGAGUAGUCC
Molecule: ribosomal RNA, 271 nt
Filed under: uncultured archaeon
Lineage: Archaea
Description: partial 16S ribosomal RNA
Rfam family: Archaeal small subunit ribosomal RNA
Source: RNAcentral